Molecule: signal recognition particle RNA, 197 nt
Filed under: Chloroflexota bacterium
Lineage: Bacteria; Bacillati; Chloroflexota
Description: Chloroflexi bacterium (anaerobic digester metagenome) signal recognition particle sRNA large type
Rfam family: Bacterial small signal recognition particle RNA (bases 68-167)
About the family: The signal recognition particle (SRP) is a universally conserved ribonucleoprotein involved in the co-translational targeting of proteins to membranes. Archaeal SRP consists of a 7S RNA and homologues of the eukaryotic SRP19 and SRP54 proteins.
Source: RNAcentral
GGAAAUUACCGGGCUUGAUGCCCGGUCUUCCCACCGGAAAUUCGUGUGUUUUCAUAGCUUCGUCAGGCGCUGGGUCCUGUGCGGCAGGAUACUGUGAACCCCGCCAGGGUCGGAAGGCAGCAACGGUAAGCAGAGCGUCCUGGGUGACACGGGGCAGCCUGGUGACCUGGCGGAGCUAUGAAAGCACACGAAUUUUU